GGUUAAGCGACUAAGCGUACACGGUGGAUGCCCUGGCAGUCAGAGGCGAUGAAGGACGUGCUAAUCUGCGAUAAGCGUCGGUGAGGUGAUAUGAACCGUUAUAACCGGCGAUUUCCGAAUGGGGAAACCCAGUGUGUUUCGACACACUAUCAUUAACUGAAUCCAUAGGUUAAUGAGGCGAACCGGGGGAACUGAAACAUCUAAGUACCCCGAGGAAAAGAAAUCAACCGAGAUUCCCCCAGUAGCGGCGAGCGAACGGGGAGGAGCCCAGAGCCUGAAUCAGUGUGUGUGUUAGUGGAAGCGUCUGGAAAGGCGCGCGAUACAGGGUGACAGCCCCGUACACAAAAAUGCACAUAUUGUGAGCUCGAUGAGUAGGGCGGGACACGUGGUAUCCUGUCUGAAUAUGGGGGGACCAUCCUCCAAGGCUAAAUACUCCUGACUGACCGAUAGUGAACCAGUACCGUGAGGGAAAGGCGAAAAGAACCCCGGCGAGGGGAGUGAAAAAGAACCUGAAACCGUGUACGUACAAGCAGUGGGAGCCUCUUUAUGGGGUGACUGCGUACCUUUUGUAUAAUGGGUCAGCGACUUAUAUUCUGUAGCAAGGUUAACCGAAUAGGGGAGCCGAAGGGAAACCGAGUCUUAACUGGGCGUUAAGUUGCAGGGUAUAGACCCGAAACCCGGUGAUCUAGCCAUGGGCAGGUUGAAGGU
Molecule: ribosomal RNA, 708 nt
Filed under: Escherichia coli
Lineage: Bacteria; Pseudomonadati; Pseudomonadota; Gammaproteobacteria; Enterobacterales; Enterobacteriaceae
Description: partial 23S ribosomal RNA
Rfam family: Bacterial large subunit ribosomal RNA
Source: RNAcentral